This 253-nucleotide ribosomal RNA is filed under the name uncultured bacterium. RNAcentral describes it as "partial 16S ribosomal RNA". It matches the Rfam family "Bacterial small subunit ribosomal RNA", at positions 524 to 776 of the family's 1533-position model. The record is from RNAcentral.
UACGUAGGGUGCGAGCGUUGUCCGGAAUUACUGGGCGUAAAGCGCUCGUAGGCGGUUUGUCGCGUUGUCCGUGAAAACUCACAACUCAAUUGUGGGCGUGCGGGCGAUACGGGCAGACUGGAGUACUGCAGGGGAGACUGGAAUUCCUGGUGUAGCGGUGGAAUGCGCAGAUAUCAGGAGGAACACCGGUGGCGAAGGCGGGUCUCUGGGCAGUAACUGACGCUGAGGAGCGAAAGCGUGGGGAGCGAACAGG